This 658-nucleotide ribosomal RNA is filed under the name uncultured fungus. RNAcentral describes it as "eukaryotic LSU rRNA". It matches the Rfam family "Eukaryotic large subunit ribosomal RNA", at positions 24 to 664 of the family's 3401-position model. Lineage: Eukaryota; Fungi. The record is from RNAcentral.
CCCGCUGAACUUAAGCAUAUCAAUAAGCGGAGGAAAAGAAACUAACAAGGAUUCCCCUAGUAACGGCGAGUGAAGCGGGAUGAGCUCAAAUUUAAAAUCUGGCUGGUUUACUAGUCCGAAUUGUAGUUUAUAGAAGCGUUUUCGGUGGCAGCCUGGGUAUAAAUCCUUUGGAAUAGGGUAUCAUAGAGGGUGAGAAUCCCGUCUUUGACUCAGUGCAUGCUACUAUGUGAUACGUUUUCAAAGAGUCGAGUUGUUUGGGAAUGCAGCUCAAAAUGGGUGGUAAAUUUCAUCUAAAGCUAAAUAUUGGCGAGAGACCGAUAGCGAACAAGUACCGUGAGGGAAAGAUGAAAAGAACUUUGAAAAGAGAGUUAAACAGUACGUGAAAUUGUUGAAAGGGAAACGCUUGAAGUCAGUCGUGUCUUCUAGGGAUCAAGUUGCCUUUGGGUGACCGCACUUCCUGGUUGAUGGGUCAGCAUCAAUUUUGACCGUUGGAUAAAGGCCUAAGGAAUGUGGCAUCUUCGGAUGUGUUAUAGACUUGGGUUGGAUACAACGAUCGGGAUUGAGGAACUCAGUGUGCCUUCAUGGUUGGGGCUUAGGCCUACAUUACACACUUAGGAUGCUGGCAUAAUGGCUUUAAUCGACCCGUCUUGAAACACGG